Long non-coding RNA from Pongo pygmaeus (Bornean orangutan), 786 nucleotides. RefSeq lists it as uncharacterized. The transcript has 4 exons. The record is from RefSeq and is a predicted model, not a curated record. Lineage: Eukaryota; Metazoa; Chordata; Mammalia; Primates; Hominidae.
AAAUGAGUGGGCAUGUGGACAGGACAGGCCUUCUCACCUGAAGUCCAGCUCGAGUCUCUUUCUGGGACCUGAAUGUGACUGCAGGGCAAGAGUCCCCCAUCUGGGUGUUGGAGCCUCAUUUGAAUCCCUCUUAUCAAUUCUCGCUCAGCACAGAACACUCGCUCUGGAGCACGGAAGGAGGAAAGGUUAGCCAAGGACACAAGGGGACAGCCUGUGGAAAAGAAGAUCUGGGCCUGGGAAGGUUCCUCUUCCUUCUGAGCCUCAAGAUCCCCAACUGAGCUAUGGGUGCAUUCUGCUGGAGGCAGGCUCCAAGAAGGGAACUUGGCCCUGGAGGAAGGGCAGGUGUUGGAUAUAGGGGGUCCUCACACCUGCAGAGACUGCACGUGCUGGUUAACCCGGUUGGUCUUUUCCUUCAAGCUGGUGAUGGAGUCUUUGGCGCGGACCAAUCCACUGUUGACCCCACUCUGGGAAAGAAUGGGAGACAGCUUACAUCAUUACUUAGACUGUGCAGAAUUAUAGUGAAUUUCUGAGUCAUCCCUUAAAGGAAAAGAGUGAGAACUUUCCCUUUUUCUCUCAUUUCACUGGAAUGCACAAUUGAGGGCUGUCUUGGACCAGCAGAUAGAGGACACAACGAGACAGAAGGAGCCUGAAUCCUUGACAUGGAGCCGCCAUACUCCAUUCCAACCACCUGUGAAGACUUUCAGGAGUCUUGCUCUUUUGUCAGGCUGGAGUGCAGUGGCGUGAUCUAGGCUCACUGCAACCUCUCCCUCCCAGGUUCAAGCAAUU